GGGCGGAUAGCUCAGCUGGGAGAGCACCUGCCUUACAAGCAGGGGGUCACAGGUUCGAGCCCUGUUCCGCCCACCA
This 76-nucleotide transfer RNA is filed under the name Natranaerobius thermophilus JW/NM-WN-LF. RNAcentral's name for it is "tRNA-Val (TAC) (tRNA-Val-TAC-1 1 to 3)". It matches the Rfam family "tRNA". From Rfam's summary of the family: Transfer RNA (tRNA) molecules are approximately 80 nucleotides in length. Lineage: Bacteria; Bacillati; Bacillota; Clostridia; Natranaerobiales; Natranaerobiaceae. The record is from RNAcentral. RNAcentral also lists the same sequence under 1 other name.